CCUUCCUAGACUGCAUGCUAAGCAUCCCAGAGGCCACAGAGAGGCCACAGUGAUCAGUUCCAGCACACCGGAAGUCAAGAUGUGUGUCGUUUCACUCAUUGACAGUCUGAUCCUGUGGACAUUUACUGAGGGUGUUUACUGACAAGUAAAGACCCCCUGAUUUCAAUGGGACUUGAUCGUGGGUGGCACAGAAGAUGCCCAGGCAAAGGGAAGUGACAGCACUCUCAAAACAACCUGUCUUGCUUCAGUAAACGGCAACCCUAAAUCUGUGGCAAAGCCAUGGGGAACCAUCUCACCGGCAAAGGGCCUCU
This 311-nucleotide long non-coding RNA is filed under the name Podarcis muralis (Common wall lizard). RNAcentral describes it as "lncRNA (ENSPMRG00000023349.1)". Lineage: Eukaryota; Metazoa; Chordata; Lepidosauria; Squamata; Lacertidae. The record is from RNAcentral.